UGGCGGCUUCUAUAAGUUUCCCUAUCAGCAGGGAAGGCAUGUUCCCACGACACAGUGCCAUCUUUUAUGAGUCCUUCCUCCAAUCUGGAGUCAUGUUUUUCUUGAUGUAGUCUUGAUAUAGAUGCUUCUUAUAGCCCUGGAACAUUGGUGCCAUCUUCUUCAUAGACCAAUCUCGGACUCUUUCCUUCAACUGUUCAUCGUUUGUCUCCAGUGUAAAAUGUUGCAAGACAUCACCCC
RNAcentral lists this long non-coding RNA (237 nucleotides) under Sorghum bicolor (sorghum). Its description in RNAcentral is "long non-coding RNA (SBIC_LNC001477)". The record is from RNAcentral. Lineage: Eukaryota; Viridiplantae; Streptophyta; Magnoliopsida; Poales; Poaceae.